RNAcentral lists this ribosomal RNA (497 nucleotides) under uncultured bacterium. Its description in RNAcentral is "partial 16S ribosomal RNA". It matches the Rfam family "Bacterial small subunit ribosomal RNA", at positions 28 to 507 of the family's 1533-position model. The record is from RNAcentral.
GAUGAACGCUGGCGGCGUGCCUAAUACAUGCAAGUCGAGCGAACGGACGAGAAGCUUGCUUCUCUGAUGUUAGCGGCGGACGGGUGAGUAACACGUGGAUAACCUACCUAUAAGACUGGGAUAACUUCGGGAAACCGUAGCUAAUACCGGAUAAUAUUUUGAACCGCAUGGUUCAAAAGUGAAAGACGGUCUUGCUGUCACUUAUAGAUGGAUCCGCGCUGCAUUAGCUAGUUGGUAAGGUAACGGCUUACCAAGGCAACGAUGCAUAGCCGACCUGAGAGGGUGAUCGGCCACACUGGAACUGAGACACGGUCCAGACUCCUACGGGAGGCAGCAGUAGGGAAUCUUCCGCAAUGGGCGAAAGCCUGACGGAGCAACGCCGCGUGAGUGAUGAAGGUCUUCGGAUCGUAAAACUCUGUUAUUAGGGAAGAACAUAUGUGUAAGUAACUGUGCAUAUCUUGACGGUACCUAAUCAGAAAGCCACGGCUAACUACGUG